CGCGGUAUACGGAGGGUGCAAGCGUUGUCCGGAAUCAUUGGGUGUAAAGGGUGCGUAGGCUGGUGUCUAAGUCUGGGGUGAAAUUUUGCCGCUUAACGGUAACAUGGCCUUGGAUACUGGAUGCCUUGAAUCUGACAGAGGUCGGUGGAAUUCGUAGUGUAGCGGUGAAAUGCAUAGAUAUUACGAAGAACACCAGUGGCGAAGGCGGCCGGCUGGGUCAGUAUUGACGCUGAGGCACGAGAGCGUGGGGAGCGAACAGGAUUAGAUACCCUGGUAGUCCACGCUGUAAACGAUGUAUGCUAGUUGUUGGGCCUUUGGGUUCAGUGACGCAGUUAACGCAGUAAGCAUACCACCUGGGGAGUACGUUCGCAAGAAUGAAACUCAAAGGAAUUGACGGGGGCCCGCACAAGCGGUGGAGCAUGUGGCUUAAUUCGAUGCAACGCGAAGAACCUUACCCGGGCUAAAUCCUGAUUUGAUACCCCGAAACGGGUAGUUCUCUUCGGAGCGGUCAGGAAGGUGCUGCAUGGCUGUCGUCAGCUCGUGCCGUGAGGUGUUGCCUUAAGUGGCGCAACGAGCGCAACCCCUAUGGUUAGUUACCAGCACGUAAUGGUGGGGACUCUAGCCAGACUGCCUACGCAAGUAGUGAGGAAGGUGGGGACGACGUCAAGUCAUCAUGGCCCUUAUGUCCGGGGCUGCACACGUGCUACAAUGGACGGUACAGAGGGAAGCCACCCAGCGAUGGGGCGCAGAUCUCGAAAGCCGUUCCCAGUUCGGAUUGGAGUCUGCAACUCGACUCCAUGAAGGUGGAAUCGCUAGUAAUCGCGUAUCAGCAACGACGCGGUGAAUACGUUCCCGGGCCUUGUACACACCGCCCGUCAAGCGAUGGAAGUCAGGAGUACCUGAUGUCGCCGUGCCAACCCUUCGGGGAA
This 929-nucleotide ribosomal RNA is filed under the name marine metagenome. RNAcentral describes it as "bacterial SSU rRNA". It matches the Rfam family "Bacterial small subunit ribosomal RNA", at positions 516 to 1450 of the family's 1533-position model. The record is from RNAcentral.